AAUAUCCCAUAAUAUUUUGAAUGGCAUCAUUUAAAAUUGAAAGCUCCGGCGGAUAGAGAUGGGCACGCGCAAGAUUAGAUAGUUGGCGGGGUAACGGCCCACCAAGUCAAUGAUCUUUAGGGGGCCUGAGAGGGUGAUCCCCCACACUGGUACUGAGACACGGACCAGACUCCUACGGGAGGCAGCAGUGAGGAAUAUUGGACAAUGGGUGAGAGCCUGAUCCAGCCAUCCCGCGUGAAGGACGACGGCCCUAUGGGUUGUAAACUUCUUUUGUAUAGGGAUAAACCUACCCUCGUGAGGGUAGCUGAAGGUACUAUACGAAUAAGCACCGGCUAACUCCGUGCCAGCAGCCGCGGUAAUACGGAGGGUGCAAGCGUUAUCCGGAUUUAUUGGGUUUAAAGGGUCCGUAGGCGGACUCGUAAGUCAGUGGUGAAAUCUCAUAGCUUAACUAUGAAACUGCCAUUGAUACUGCGGGUCUUGAGUAAGGUAGAGGUAGCUGGAAUAAGUAGUGUAGCGGUGAAAUGCAUAGAUAUUACUUAGAACACCAAUUGCGAAGGCAGGUUACCAUGUCUUAACUGACGCUGAUGGACGAAAGCGUGGGGAGCGAACAGGAUUAGAUACCCUGGUAGUCCACGCCGUAAACGAUGCUAACUCGUUUUUGGGUUUUCGGAUUCAGAGACUAAGCGAAAGUGAUAAGUUAGCCACCUGGGGAGUACGUUCGCAAGAAUGAAACUCAAAGGAAUUGACGGGGGCCCGCACAAGCGGUGGAUUAUGUGGUUUAAUUCGAUGAUACGCGAGGAACCUUACCAAGGCUUAAAUGGGAAUUGACAGGUUUAGAAAUAGACUUUUCUUCGGACAAUUUUCAAGGUGCUGCAUGGUUGUCGUCAGCUCGUGCCGUGAGGUGUUAGGUUAAGUCCUGCAACGAGCGCAACCCCUGUCACUAGUUGCCAUCAUUCAGUUGGGGACUCUAGUGAGACUGCCUACGCAAGUAGAGAGGAAGGUGGGGAUGACGUCAAAUCAUCACGGCCCUUACGCCUUGGGCCACACACGUAAUACAAUGGCCAGUACAGAGGGCAGCUACCAGGUGACUGGAUGCGAAUCUCGAAAGCUGGUCUCAGUUCGGAUUGGAGUCUGCAACUCGACUCUAUGAAGCUGGAAUCGCUAGUAAUCGCGCAUCAGCCAUGGCGCGUGAAUACGUUCCCGGGC
RNAcentral lists this ribosomal RNA (1206 nucleotides) under Chryseobacterium sp. Its description in RNAcentral is "bacterial SSU rRNA". It matches the Rfam family "Bacterial small subunit ribosomal RNA", at positions 165 to 1379 of the family's 1533-position model. The record is from RNAcentral. Lineage: Bacteria; Pseudomonadati; Bacteroidota; Flavobacteriia; Flavobacteriales; Weeksellaceae.